RNAcentral lists this ribosomal RNA (253 nucleotides) under uncultured bacterium. Its description in RNAcentral is "partial 16S ribosomal RNA". It matches the Rfam family "Bacterial small subunit ribosomal RNA", at positions 524 to 776 of the family's 1533-position model. The record is from RNAcentral.
UACGAAGGGGGCUAGCGUUGCUCGGAAUCACUGGGCGUAAAGCGCACGUAGGCGGCUUUCUAAGUCAGGGGUGAAAUCCUGGAGCUCAACUCCAGAACUGCCUUUGAUACUGGAGAGCUUGAGUCCGGAAGAGGUGAGUGGAACUCCGAGUGUAGAGGUGAAAUUCGUAGAUAUUCGGAAGAACACCAGUGGCGAAGGCGGCUCACUGGUCCGGUACUGACGCUGAGGAACGAAAGCGUGGGGAGCGAACAGG